Molecule: non-coding RNA, 117 nt
Organism: Homo sapiens (human)
Lineage: Eukaryota; Metazoa; Chordata; Mammalia; Primates; Hominidae
Rfam family: Metazoan signal recognition particle RNA
About the family: The signal recognition particle (SRP) is a universally conserved ribonucleoprotein.
Source: Rfam
GCUGGGCAUGGUGGCUCAUGCCUGUAAUCCAAGGAUUUUGGGAGGCUGAGGUGGGCGGAUCACUUGAGGCCAGGAGUUUGAGACUAGCCUGGCCAACAUGGUGAAACCCCAUCUCUA